RNAcentral lists this transfer RNA (76 nucleotides) under Bacteroidales bacterium. Its description in RNAcentral is "tRNA-Arg". It matches the Rfam family "tRNA". From Rfam's summary of the family: Transfer RNA (tRNA) molecules are approximately 80 nucleotides in length. Their secondary structure includes four short double-helical elements and three loops (D, anti-codon, and T loops). The record is from RNAcentral. Lineage: Bacteria; Pseudomonadati; Bacteroidota; Bacteroidia; Bacteroidales.
GCGCCUAUAGCUCAGCGGAUAGAGCAUCGGUCUUCGGAACCGAGGGUCGUGGGUUCGAAUCCCCCUAGGCGCGCCA